UGGGGAAUAUUGGACAAUGGGGGCAACCCUGAUCCAGCCAUGCCGCGUGAGUGAAGAAGGCCUUAGGGUUGUAAAGCUCUUUCAACGGUGAAGAUGUUGACAGUAGCCGUAGAAGAAGCCCCGGCUAACUCCGUGCCAGCAGCCGCGGUAAUACGGAGGGGGCAAGCGUUGUUCGGAAUUACUGGGCGUAAAGGGCGCGUAGGCGGUCUGUUGCGUCAGGUGUGAAAGCCCUGGGCUCAACCUGGGAGGUGCACUUGAUACGGGCGGACUAGAAUCCGAGAGAGGGUGGUGGAAUUCCCAGUGUAGAGGUGAAAUUCGUAGAUAUUGGGAAGAACACCGAUGGCGAAGGCAGCCACCUGGCUCGGUAUUGACGCUGAGGCGCGAAAGCGUGGGGAGCAAACAGGAUUAGAUACCCUGGUAGUCCACGCCGUAAACGAUGUGUGCUAGCCGUCGGGCAGCUUGCUGUUCGGUGGCGCCGCUAACGCAUUAAGCACACCGCCUGGGGAGUACGGCCGCAAGGUUA
This 523-nucleotide ribosomal RNA is filed under the name uncultured bacterium. RNAcentral describes it as "bacterial SSU rRNA". It matches the Rfam family "Bacterial small subunit ribosomal RNA", at positions 355 to 896 of the family's 1533-position model. The record is from RNAcentral.